The sequence is a non-coding RNA, 130 nucleotides long. It matches the Rfam family "Eukaryotic large subunit ribosomal RNA", at positions 2428 to 2560 of the family's 3401-position model.
CUAGUUUGACAUUGUGAAAAGACAUAGAGGGUGUAGCAUAAGUGGGAGCUUCGGCGCCGUUGAAAUACCACUACCUUUAUCGUCUUUUUACUUAUUCGAUUUGGGUUGUAUUGGGGGUUGUCGAAAAGUG